RNAcentral lists this transfer RNA (91 nucleotides) under Dipodomys ordii (Ord's kangaroo rat). It matches the Rfam family "tRNA". From Rfam's summary of the family: Transfer RNA (tRNA) molecules are approximately 80 nucleotides in length. Their secondary structure includes four short double-helical elements and three loops (D, anti-codon, and T loops). The record is from Rfam by way of RNAcentral. Lineage: Eukaryota; Metazoa; Chordata; Mammalia; Rodentia; Heteromyidae.
GGUGCCGUGGCUCAAGGGGUAGAGCACCAGCCUUGAGUGAAAGAGCUGAGGGACAGCGCCCAGGCCCUGAGUUCAAACCUCAGUACCACCU